Molecule: long non-coding RNA, 426 nt
Organism: Mustela erminea (ermine)
Lineage: Eukaryota; Metazoa; Chordata; Mammalia; Carnivora; Mustelidae
Exons: 3
Source: RefSeq, a predicted model, not a curated record
GUCGCAUAGUAAAUAAUACAGUGAGUUAGGAGCUUUGCCCACCCUUCGUCCAGCCACAGGACACAAGAAGAAAGAAUCUGGACCAUUUCCGUCUGCCAAGAGCCCACUCUGUUCAGAUCCAUUUCGCAGAAUUAAAUGGAGGAGGAGGAGCAACUGGGAGUGUGAUACACAUUACCAGAGGAAUGGCCACCCUUAAAGAAAUUGUAAUUCUGGGUACAAUUUAAACAGAGCUGGCUUUCAGAAGCACCGUGGCUUUGUUGGACUUCGUUAAAAGUUCCUUGUAAAACAGAAAGUCCAAAAGAAAAAGGAAACCUGAUCUGAAGGCCUCAGAGGUAAAAUGGAUACUUCCCAGGUGCCCCGCUCCACUGUUUCUUCGCUGCUGGAGCGUGAAGCCUCAAUUCAGAGACAGGCGGAGUCCCAGCAACC